CACAUGGAGGGAGGUCACUUUGAGUGGCAGGCACCGUGUCCCCACUGUGGAGGUGGUGCAGGUAAGAAGAGGAGAUGCAGGAAUAAAUGCCACGUGCAAUGGAGGAUGGGAUCAGAAUGAAAUGUGGGGCGGAAAGGAUUCCCUUAGAAAGGAAUAGGAAGAAGAGAGCUGGCUUCCGCUUAAGGGAGACAUGUCCAGCCUGGAGGUUCGAGCGCCAGUGGGGAAAAUAUCAGACAGAUUCCAAUAGAGGCACAUUCUGCAAAGUACCUGCCUGGUACCCCUCAAGACCGUCAAGGUCAUUGACAACACGGAGAGUUCUCAGGUACCGUCAGAACCAAGAGAAGCCUAAGGAGGCAGGACAGCAGUCCACGUGACCCUGCGUGCGUGCCUGCUAAGUCAAUUCAAUCGUCCGACUCUUUGCGACCCCAUGGACUGUAUCCCACCAGGAUCCUCUGUCCAUGAGAUUCUCCAGACAAGAAUAGUGGAGUGGGUUAUCAUGCCCUCCUCCAGAGGAUCUUCCCGACCCAAGGAUGGAACCUGCGUUCUCUCACGUCUCCUGCAUUGACAAGCCGAUUGUUUACCACACCUGCGAAGCCCUCCAUGUGGCCCUAAACCACCAACAAUUUGAAUGUCCCAAACAAUCGUCUUCGUGAAUCUCUUGUUCCAUACUUACAGCAACUUGAUUCAUUCUUAUUUUAACUCCUUAUGU
This is a long non-coding RNA of Bubalus bubalis (water buffalo), 709 nucleotides long. RefSeq lists it as uncharacterized. The transcript has 3 exons. The record is from RefSeq and is a predicted model, not a curated record. NCBI's taxonomy places the organism in Eukaryota, Metazoa, Chordata, Mammalia, Artiodactyla, Bovidae.